CAGCAGCCACGGUAAUACGAGUGGUGCAAGCGUUAUUCGGAAUUAUUGGGCGUAAAGGGUGUGCAGACGGUUUGUUAAGUCGCUUGUUAAAUUCUCCGGCUUAACCGGAGGCCAGCAUGUGAAACUAGCAGACUAGAGGGUGAGAGAGAGAAGUGGAAUUCUCGGAGUAGCGGUAAAAUGCGUAGAUCUCGAGAGGAACACCAAUGGCGAAGGCAGCUUCUUGGCUCACUCCUGACGUUCAUACACGAAAGCGUGGGGAGCAAACAGGAUUAGAUACCCAGUAGUCCCUGUCUCUUAUACC
RNAcentral lists this ribosomal RNA (301 nucleotides) under uncultured bacterium. Its description in RNAcentral is "partial 16S ribosomal RNA". It matches the Rfam family "Bacterial small subunit ribosomal RNA", at positions 509 to 808 of the family's 1533-position model. The record is from RNAcentral.